CGAGCACACGCACGUACAACGUAACUGUUCAGCUUCAGUCACCUAGACCACGUGCAAUUCUCGAAGCACAUUGUACUUGUAAGGGAGGUGUGGCUGGCCGUUGUAAACAUGUAGCCGCCGUUGUUACUGCCAUAAACAACCCCGAAGACGACUCCUGCACUAGUGUGCCCCAAGCGUGGGGCAGGCCUGGAAGUCAAGCGUCAGGCAGCUACGUCCGGCUUCCUUUCGAAGAGCUUUAUCCAAGUGGUUCCAGGAAAGGGCAUUACGUCUAACAAGCACAGAGUGCCACAGAGUCAGAAC
This is a long non-coding RNA of Ornithodoros turicata, 300 nucleotides long. RefSeq lists it as uncharacterized. The record is from RefSeq and is a predicted model, not a curated record. The transcript has 3 exons. NCBI's taxonomy places the organism in Eukaryota, Metazoa, Arthropoda, Arachnida, Ixodida, Argasidae.